GUGGGGAAUCUUAGACAAUGGGGGAAACCCUGAUCUAGCCAUGCCGCGUGAUCGAUGAAGGCCUUAGGGUUGUAAAGAUCUUUCAGAUGGGAAGAUAAUGACGGUACCAUCAGAAGAAGCCCCGGCUAACUCCGUGCCAGCAGCCGCGGUAAUACGGAGGGGGCUAGCGUUAUUCGGAAUUACUGGGCGUAAAGCGCACGUAGGCGGAUUAGAAAGUCAGAGGUGAAAUCCCAGGGCUCAACCUUGGAACUGCCUUUGAAACUCCUAGUCUUGAGGUCGAGAGAGGUGAGUGGAAUUCCGAGUGUAGAGGUGAAAUUCGUAGAUAUUCGGAAGAACACCAGUGGCGAAGGCGACACACUGGCCCGUUACUGACGCUGAGGCGCGAAAGCGUGGGUAGCAAACAGGAUUAGAUACCCUAGUAGUCC
Molecule: ribosomal RNA, 425 nt
Filed under: uncultured bacterium
Lineage: Bacteria
Description: bacterial SSU rRNA
Rfam family: Bacterial small subunit ribosomal RNA
Source: RNAcentral